This 426-nucleotide ribosomal RNA is filed under the name uncultured bacterium. Its description in RNAcentral is "bacterial SSU rRNA". It matches the Rfam family "Bacterial small subunit ribosomal RNA", at positions 355 to 774 of the family's 1533-position model. The record is from RNAcentral.
UCGAGAAUUUUUCUCAAUGGGGGAAACCCUGAAGGAGCGACGCCGCGUGGAGGAUGAAGGUCUUCGGAUUGUAAACUCCUGUCAUUGGUGAACAAAGCCACAGGUUAACUGCCUUGUGGUAUGCUAGUAGCCGAAGAGGAAGGGACGGCUAACUCUGUGCCAGCAGCCGCGGUAAUACAGAGGUCCCAAGCGUUGUUCGGAUUCAUUGGGCGUAAAGGGUGCGUAGGCGGUGGGGUAAGUUGGAUGUGAAAUCUUGGGGCUUAACCUCAAAAUUGCAUUCAAUACUGCUCCGCUUGAGCGCUGUAGAGGAGAUUGGAAUUUACGGUGUAGCAGUGAAAUGCGUAGAUAUCGUAAGGAACGCCAGUGGCGAAAGCGAAUCUCUGGGCAGCAGCUGACGCUGAGGCACGAAGGCCAGGGGAGCAAACG